CAAAGAAUAGUUUAGUUUAGAAUCCUAGCUCUUGGGAGUUAGGGGUGG
This 48-nucleotide transfer RNA is filed under the name Macropodus opercularis (paradise fish). Its description in RNAcentral is "partial tRNA-Pro". Lineage: Eukaryota; Metazoa; Chordata; Actinopteri; Anabantiformes; Osphronemidae. The record is from RNAcentral.